GUGAAUAAAGGAGUUUCAUUUCGAUGAACUCCGACUCAUCACCUUCCACACACACAUACGACAUUUGUCGGACCAAUUGUUCAGUAGGUUGGUAUCCCCAGCCUUUUGAACAAUUUUUUUUACAAACUCUAAUCGUUAUGUAUGUCUCAAACUAUCUUCGGAUAAUAAAAGUA
This 173-nucleotide unclassified non-coding RNA is filed under the name uncultured fungus. Its description in RNAcentral is "sequence contains ITS1". The record is from RNAcentral. Lineage: Eukaryota; Fungi.